UACGUAGGGUCCAAGCGUUAAUCGGAAUUACUGGGCGUAAAGCGUGCGCAGGCGGUUUGCUAAGACAGGUGUGAAAUCCCCGGGCUCAACCUGGGAACUGCGCUUGUAACUAGCAGGCUAGAGUGCGGCAGAGGGGGGUGGAAUUCCACGUGUAGCAGUGAAAUGCGUAGAGAUGUGGAGGAACACCGAUGGCGAAGGCAGCCCCCUGGGUCGACACUGACGCUCAUGCACAAAAGCGUGGGGAGCAAACAGG
Molecule: ribosomal RNA, 253 nt
Filed under: uncultured bacterium
Lineage: Bacteria
Description: partial 16S ribosomal RNA
Rfam family: Bacterial small subunit ribosomal RNA
Source: RNAcentral